UUUGAGAAUUGGUAUCGGCUUAUUUUAGAAUUAGAUUAGUUAACACAACAAUUUCGAGUCAUUGAAAUAAGUGAGAGAGAAACCUUUCUCAUGAUUCUUCUCACUCGCACUGGGACCUACACUUGACGUUCGAUCCUACAUUUGAUCCAUCCCGAUGGGGUACGAUUUUACACGAUAGAGUAUGAUUUUCGACACAACACAAAACAAUAGAGUCAUGGUAGUCGGUGAAAACAAUGACAGUGGAAGUGCCGAUAACAAUUUCUACAGUGUAUUAGAUGAAGUUCUUUUUAUUCAAUAUCUGAUGGGAUGACGUGUUUGGCUAUUCAAGUAUAGAUGGUUUAAUAUGGAACCAGUCAUUCUCGCAAUCCAAGAACAACAAGUCUUUUACAUCGAGGACCCAAAAAAUGGUGCCAACUAGAAAGUGGUUCAAUUGAUCCAAAAUAAACGUAUAUGGGAUGUCCCUAAAGUGGAUGAUGUUGAGGAUCAGCAACUGAAUACUGGAAACCGUUGUUGGACACUGUGUGCUUGAACACAUUGAGGAUGACACCCUGUGUAGACUAGACGUUGGUCCUACAGUGGUGGAAAGAUGAUUGUGCGUCAUGUCGUGUGCGACUUCAUAAAUGAUGAUGAUGAACAAUUAUACAUUUAAAGCAGAUCAAACGAUGACGAAUCACGUAUUCACAUAUAUUUCAUUUUUUAUAUAUUUAGUUUCAAAUACUCUCAUUUGUUUAAUUAAUCUUGGUUUAACUUUUUCACAGGUACUAUGUCAUUCCUCAACGAUUUCGAUGAGACUGAUGCUCUUUUUGAUUUUAACGACGACACAUUCAAUAAUGCAAGAGGAACAUUCUCACUGGGCGACACAUCAGGUUAGUCCCAUUACAUAAACAAUUAAUUGCAUAAACAUGGAGUUAUGCGUUUCUUUUUUUCAUAGAUGUCGCUCUACCUAGUACUAGCACUCCUAGGAGACAGUAACACUUAAGGAACUUGGAGUUAAAGAGAGAGAUACGUGCAGCAAAAUCUAAAGAUUCCCAUAUCCAUCGCUCUAGGAUGGGAUAAGUCGAUCUCCCCACAUACCGUUUGCUUCAGCUAUACCGUCGGUGUGUUGACGCAGGAUACAUUUUCAAUCCGUUUCCUUAAGUGGGUUGACAUUAUUUCGGAGUAAAUCGAGCUUGUGAAAGAUGAUUUACAAUGAUGGUACGUGUUGGAUUUCGUAGAUCCUGCACUUACUCGAUUUGUUGAGCAUCAAAUGCUCACCACUUGGAAGGAUUUUCAAGGGAGAGAACCACCGCCAUUUUAAGAAGUUCAAUGAUCCUGAACAAAAACGUGUCCACCCACCCCCUAGAUUGAGGAAUCAUGUGAAAGAUUGACACUUAUUAUGCGAUCAUUAUGCUACUCGACAGUUUCUGAGCAAUCAAUGAUGAACAGGGCUGCUAGAGCGAAGCAGCCCAACAACCACACUAGCGGAUCCAAGUCGUUUCUAGAACGACAGUAUGAGCUCAUUGAACAACGAGGUCAUCCAGUCAAUCAGAUGGAGUUGUUCAGAAAAACACACACUUGCGAUGGCCAGUUUGUUUCGUAGGUGACCGCAGAU
Molecule: long non-coding RNA, 1591 nt
Organism: Cucumis melo (muskmelon)
Lineage: Eukaryota; Viridiplantae; Streptophyta; Magnoliopsida; Cucurbitales; Cucurbitaceae
Exons: 3
Source: RefSeq, a predicted model, not a curated record